RNAcentral lists this long non-coding RNA (237 nucleotides) under Setaria italica (foxtail millet). RNAcentral describes it as "long non-coding RNA (SITA_LNC006018)". Lineage: Eukaryota; Viridiplantae; Streptophyta; Magnoliopsida; Poales; Poaceae. The record is from RNAcentral.
UGAAUUUUUCCAAGAGGUUGAACAUCAUGUUAGAAAAUUUCCAAGAUUCCUAUGGAUCUAACGGUUCCAUAGGAAUUUCAGAGGUUCAUUCAAUCUUUGGUUCCAAAUCUUUUUUUUAAGAAAUCAUCAGUGUGUUGGGGCGGCCCAACGUUUUGGAACGGGCCCGGAUCUGUCGCUCGGAGCCCAAAUUUGGCCCACAGCCUGUAUGCUCUGUUGGAAGUACAUGCAACUUCUCGG